GGAGAGGUGGGUGAGUGGCUGAAACCAGCAGUUUGCUAAACUGCCGUACCUUUACGGGUACCGGGGGUUCGAAUCCCCCUCUCUCCGCCA
RNAcentral lists this transfer RNA (90 nucleotides) under Bacteroidia bacterium. RNAcentral's name for it is "tRNA-Ser". It matches the Rfam family "tRNA". From Rfam's summary of the family: Transfer RNA (tRNA) molecules are approximately 80 nucleotides in length. Their secondary structure includes four short double-helical elements and three loops (D, anti-codon, and T loops). The record is from RNAcentral. Lineage: Bacteria; Pseudomonadati; Bacteroidota; Bacteroidia.